UUUUGGACAAUGGGCGCAAGCCUGAUCCAGCCAUGCCGCGUGAGUGAAGAAGGCCUUCGGGUUGUAAAGCUCUUUCGGCAGGAACGAAAUGGUACGUGCUAAUACCACGGACUGAUGACGGUACCUGAAGAAGAAGCACCGGCUAACUACGUGCCAGCAGCCGCGGUAAUACGUAGGGUGCAGGCGUUAAUCGGAAUUACUGGGCGUAAAGCGUGCGCAGGCGGUUUCUUAAGUCAGAUGUGAAAGCCCCGGGAUUAACCUGGGAACUGCGUUUGAAACUGGGAGACUUGAGUGUGGCAGAGGGGGGUGGAAUUCCACGUGUAGCAGUGAAAUGCGUAGAUAUGUGGAGGAACACCGAUGGCGAAGGCAGCCCCCUGGGCUAACACUGACGCUCAUCACGAA
This 402-nucleotide ribosomal RNA is filed under the name uncultured bacterium. Its description in RNAcentral is "bacterial SSU rRNA". It matches the Rfam family "Bacterial small subunit ribosomal RNA", at positions 362 to 757 of the family's 1533-position model. The record is from RNAcentral.